UAGGUCCAAGUCCCAUUCUCGUAUACCAAAAACGAAGUAUUCAUGCUUUAAAUCAGAGUACCUCACCAUCGUUCAUCUAAGCCCGUUCUAAGUUCUAACACACGAGAAACAAGUUUCUUUCUCUGUGUUCUUCUUUCCCAUAAAUUCACUCAGCUUAUCUUUAUCUCACGAUUUUCGUAGCAUGUCAAAUCUAUCAAACCCACACCUCUAUCACCACUUUUCCCCUGUCAGUCUAGUUGCUUAUCUUUUAUAUUUUAUCUCUACCAUCCAUUUCAGUCAUAACCCUAGGUUUUUACUCCUACAAGAACAUGUCGGCUGUUUGGUUUUCAAAAGCGACGGAAUUGACAAGCUAGAGAUUUGAUUUUGUUUCUCUCUGCAAAUAUCAACAGCAGCUGCACGCAAUUGACAGAAAUAGGGUGAUGUGAUGAUUAAGCAACUGACAAUUAGGUCUGAGUUCAAACAGCGACAACAUCAAUCAAAUGGGUGAAGGUAGUGCAGUGGCGGUACAUGAAUGAAGAGUCUUAGAAAGUGGUACCUGAGAUACUGCUGCGCAAACCCAAGGAGGAGAAGAAAAAGAGCGAGACAACCUGUUGGUUGUGCCUAAACCCGGUCUUAUACCGGCGAUAUCGUGCCUCAACUUUAAUAUUCUUUCCUUGAAUGAUACACCAUCUUGCAUGCAAACUGAACUAGCUUCUAAGCAUUGUCAAACCCCUGCCACAUAUAACAUCUUUGUGUAUGAUCCUGUGAUGUUUAAGCAACUUAUUUGCUAGAUGAAUUGUUGUUUCAUUGUGC
This is a long non-coding RNA of Papaver somniferum (opium poppy), 792 nucleotides long. RefSeq lists it as uncharacterized. NCBI's taxonomy places the organism in Eukaryota, Viridiplantae, Streptophyta, Magnoliopsida, Ranunculales, Papaveraceae. The transcript is spliced from 2 exons. The record is from RefSeq and is a predicted model, not a curated record.